GCUUGAUCUCCCCGCCCUGCCAAUCAUCUCCUGCCUUUAUAAAUGCGGAGGAAUAUUGUGAGAGGGAGAGCCGGACUUGUGAAGGAGAUUCCGCGCUGCAGACUGGAGCUGGAACGCGGAGAGACUUUAUGAAACUGAUAGAUCCGAGUAUUUUAUAUAAACUGCAAUAAUAUAAUCUGUGAUUAACGGAUUGGCGUCGACUGGAUCUUACGUUCAGAGCGGACAGAAAGACAAGGCUGCCUCCCAGUCUCUCUUCACUGCCAGUUACGUCUACUAGACCAGUGCGCUCAUUAAACUGGGACCAGUAAA
This is a long non-coding RNA of Acipenser ruthenus (sterlet), 309 nucleotides long. RefSeq lists it as uncharacterized. Lineage: Eukaryota; Metazoa; Chordata; Actinopteri; Acipenseriformes; Acipenseridae. The record is from RefSeq and is a predicted model, not a curated record. The transcript is spliced from 2 exons.